GCCUACGGCCAUACCACCCUGAAAGCGCCUGAUCUCGGAAGCUAAGCAGGGACGGGCUUGGUUAGUACCUUGAUGGGAGACCGCCUGGGAAUACCAGGUGUUGUAGGCU
This 109-nucleotide ribosomal RNA is filed under the name Xenopus tropicalis (tropical clawed frog). Lineage: Eukaryota; Metazoa; Chordata; Amphibia; Anura; Pipidae. The record is from RNAcentral.